UUAAAACAAAAAUCCCCAAUCUAAACCUAAUCCCCUCCACCCCGACGAACUCUCCCCCUCUUUCUCUCUUCCUCUUUUGGUUUCGACAACAAAUACUGAAUCUCCCGCCACCACCCCUAACAACGGCUCCUCUUCUCUGAUGUAGUGUAUUCUCUGGUUUCCCUCUCAUGGUGUGCUCUUCAUCUCUUCUUCUUCGAUUUUUUUUUUUUGUGUUCUAAUCUGGUGUUUAAUUUCAUGUGUGGGAAAAACUCUUCAUCUCCGGCGUGAAUCUCUUCUUCUCCUGUCAAAAUUGAAGGUAAGCCAUCUCUUCUAUUUGAUAUUUCGUUUUGUUCUUUUGAUUAACAAAAAUCCAAAAUUGUAUGAUAGUCUCAUUGUUCUUUGUUUUGUUUCAAAAUCCAAAAUUAUAUGAUAUUUGGGUUUUUACUUUUUCAGGCUUGACAAAACGAGGGUUUAUGUUGUUGGAGCUGUAUUCUUCACUGGUGUCACAGUAGCCUCUCUACCCUGUCUCUGUGGUCAAAACAAGGCUUUAAGUUGCAUCCAAAGAUAUCGUUGGGUCUGAAUAAGACAGUGAUAAAGAAAACAACGACGAGGAGAAGGAAGCUCAAGGCAGUGACACGGACUAUAGUGAAGAUGGAGAAGAAGCCAAUGGCAAGAAACAAAGCACUCGUGGCAGAGGACGUGGCCGUGGUCGCGGCGGCCGCUCUGGUAAUGGAAAAGUUUUGCCGGUGACAACCGGUGGGAGAAGAGGAAGACCAUGUAAAUCUUAGUAACUACUUUGACUUUGAUGUGGUUUCUUUUUAACAGUUUUGUUUCUUUUUCAAACAAUGAGAGGCUGAGAAACAUUUGCUUAAAGCUUGAUCCUCCAGAGUACUUUUUACCGGCUUUUGUAUUCUUAUGUAAUCCACAUCGAAUGAUUUAUUAAUCUAGAGAGCACAUUUCCGUUAA
RNAcentral lists this long non-coding RNA (945 nucleotides) under Brassica rapa (field mustard). RNAcentral's name for it is "long non-coding RNA (BRAP_LNC001791)". Lineage: Eukaryota; Viridiplantae; Streptophyta; Magnoliopsida; Brassicales; Brassicaceae. The record is from RNAcentral.